GGAAACGGCGUCUAAUAMAGGAUACGACGAUCGGAGGCAUCUCCUGGUCGUGGAAAGAACUUCGGUCAAGGAUCAGCUCACGGCCUAUCAGUUAGUUGGUGAGGUAAUGGCUCACCAAGACGACGACGGGUAGCCGGCCUGAGAGGGUGACCGGCCACDCUGGGACUGAGACACGGCCCAGACUCYUACGGGAGGCAGCAGUGGGGAAUAUUGCACAAUGGGCGCAAGCUGAUGCAGCAACGCCGCGUGAGGGACGAAGGCCUUCGGGUUGUAAACCUCUUUUAGCAGGGAAGAAGCGAAAGUDACGGUACCUGCAGAAAAAGCACCGGCUAACUACGUGCCAGCAGCCGCGGUAAUACGUAGGGUGCAAGCKUUGUCCGGAAUUAUUGGGCGUAAAGAGCUCGUAGGCGGUUUGUCACGUCUGCUGUGAAAACCCGAGGCUCAACCUCGGGCUUGCAGUGGGUACGGGCAGACUAGAGUGCGGUAGGGGAGAUUGGAAUUCCUGGUGUAGCGGUGGAAUGCGCAGAUAUCAGGAGGAACACCGAUGGCGAAGGCAGAUCUCUGGGCCGUAACUGACGCUGAGGAGCGAAAGCAUGGGGAGCAAACAGGCUUAGAUACCCUGGUAGUCCAUGCCGUAAACGUUGGGAACUAGAUGUGGGGACCAUUCCACGGUCUCCGUGUCGUAGCUAACGCAUUAAGUUCCCCGCCUGGGGAGUACGGCCGCAAGCUAAAAACUCAAAGGAAUUNACGGGGGCCCGCACAAGCAGCGGAGCAUGCGGAUUAAUUCGAUGCAACGCGAAGAACCUUACCAAGGCUUGACAUAUACGAGAACGCGCUGGAGACAGCGAACUCUUUGGACACUCGUAUACAGGUGGUGCAUGGUUGUUGUCAGCUCGUGUCGUGAGAUGUUGGGUUAAGUCCCGCAACGAGCGCAACCCUCGUCCUAUGUUGCCAGCACGUAAUGGUGGGAACUCAUGGGAUACUGCCGGGGUCAACUCGGAGGAAGGUGGGGAUGAGGUCAAAUCAUCAUGCCCCUUAUGUCUUGGGCUUCACGCAUGCUACAAUGGCCGGUACAAUGGGMUGCAAUACCGUAAGUGGAGCGAAUCCCAAWAAGCCGGUCUCAGUUCGGAUUGAGGUCUGCAACUCGACCUCAUGAAGUCGGAGUCGSUAGUAAUCGUAGAUCAGCAACGCUACGGUGAAUACGUUCCCGGG
Molecule: ribosomal RNA, 1212 nt
Filed under: Agrococcus citreus
Lineage: Bacteria; Bacillati; Actinomycetota; Actinomycetes; Micrococcales; Microbacteriaceae
Description: 16S ribosomal RNA
Rfam family: Bacterial small subunit ribosomal RNA
Source: RNAcentral